UUGAUUUAAGGGGGAGGGGGUCGAUUUUUAAUAAUUUCAAUCGAUUACUUAAAGAUGGCAAUACUGUCGUCUGCUUUCGAUUUGUUUACAAGUUUUGAAAUAGAGAGGAAGUUUUUAAAGAUUAUAAAGAAAACGGAGCAAUCACAUAUUUGGAAAGGUACACGUGACUGCACGAAAAAGUAGAACAAGAAAAUUGCAAGAAUGUGGUCGUCGUUUGAGCCCUGAUUGACUACACAUCCAUGUAUCCACCUGUUUAGCAGAUUUGAGACCUGAGCCUACCAUAAUAUAACCACAAGAUAUGCAAGUUUUGCUUGUGUUGGACCUGUCAUCAGCAUCAUUGCUUAGAUACAUAACAUUCCUCUUGAUUGGCUUUCUUCUUCUAUUACCGAUAUCGGGCAAGUUACGGAUCUCUUCUUCCGAGAACGCCUUUCAUUCCUAUCCAGCUUGGUGGAUUAUUCCAUUUUUCUGCGAAUAGAGCACUUGAUGAUGCCUGGCCGUAUUUCCCGGGCUUAAAUAAGAAUUCGAAGGAAUCGCCUUUGGGCCGACGACUAAUGAAAUUGCUGCGUCGUCGAUUCAACUGAUAGUCAAGCGGCGACAGCUGGGCGUAUGCUGGAUUAAUUCCAUCACGAAAGAUGCACAAUCACUUGAAUUUCUACUGCAAUAAAUCGAUCUACAUCCGUAAUGUACGUCCGUUGGUUUCGAGCAGUGGCGAAAUACUGCACGUCGGAAGUGAAGUACGUCCCUCGCUUAUAUGCGUAUUGCGCUCACGGUCCCGAUUCCACUUCAAGAUUCUAUUUCAUCUUUCUCUCAUUCGAUACAUAUUGUUCUUCACUGGAAUUCAACUUUCACUGCACUGCAUCCUACGUAAUUGGCAAGUUUAUUCUAUUUUAUUUGUAAAUUAUUACAAAUUGUAUAGUUUCAUUAGCCAUUUUGGCUGGCUCCGACGUUAUUGCUAAGCAACUAGUUUGUUGCGUCGUAGCAUUCUUUUGUUAGUUGAUAUAACGAAUUCCUUUAUUAAUUUCCACGAAUCCACAGAUUGUUCUCAAUUGUUAUUCCAGUGGAGAAAUCUUGACAAGAAGAUGCCCGGCGGGGGGACGAAUCUGGGAAAGAUUAAAUCGUUGCUCUUAUCGAAAAUGGGUUUAUUCGCUUUCUGGCCAAAUCAUAAAAGAAGAAUAUAAAUUCACUUUGCAGAUUUGACGGGUUAUAUGGGACCUUACAAGUCAAUAAACAACGUAUACGUCGUCAAAUGUCAAUGACGCAGUUUAUUGACAUUGAACCAGAUAUUGGUUUGGUUUAGUUUCAGGAUCGCCUUGGCCGUUGGAAACAUAACGCGUGCCGCUGUUCUCAGUGACAAUAAUAAAGUCCCUCCGUUUAUCAAAUUAAAUUAUUUCGUGUGUAAAAUCGGUCGUCUCAGCUUCUCUUGAACUUUAUUGAUUCUCACUCGUGCGCGCUUCUGUUACGUACAAAUAUUUAUUUUUGUUUUUUCCUCUUGUCGAUUCUAAAAAAAUCUACUGCAGACAUACACUCCCGAGAAGAGCGUUGGCGUUCUUCCUUGGGGAUCAUAGGGUAUCUCUCCGCAGGAUCAAAUCGGCAGUGAGUGUUUCCUUCUUUGUCUGCGAUUGUAAAAAAAAAUAUUUUUCACUUUUGGUUCACCUGCGUCAUUGUGCAUAGGAAAAUAUUUGUCCCAUGACGACUGCCGAGUGCGCCAGAGUCAAGAUACAAAAAUAGGUCUGACAAUUGCAUAUCCAAUAUCCAAAAUAUUUUAGGCUGCCAUUUGGCUUAGGUCUACGAAUGUUUCCUCGGAUAUUGUGUUUGGUUUCACAUUCGUCCUCCAAGUGGUCGCCGACGACUGGACGAUCCUGUUUUUGAUUAUUAUUAUUUUAUCGCUCAACAGUUGCUAGGCGAUGCUCAGCUCUUGGCAUUGAGGAUUAAACAGCACGCGCAAAUGUGAUACACGCGAGACUAGGUUGGUUCAACACAGUCCAUUGUAUUGGAAGACCAGAAUGAUAUUUUAGGACGUUUACAAGCAGGUGCGACACACAGGUGAAAACGAUUAAUUGGUUCACAUUUGGAGGGCUAUAUUUACCUCGCCGUGGAGUAGUUCCCAUCAUUAAAGUUCUACCUUUCAAAAACUUCUUCAUAUUUAAGUUGACAAUUUCACAGUUAAAAACUGGGGGAUAUUUUUCAACUGAAAUUGCCUCCCAAGUAGAUUAUUCACUUUAUCUGGAAUUUUGGUGGUUUUCAUCAGUACUCCUUCCGGAUUCAAUACUACUCUGAUGAACCUUGAUUAGAUCAUCCGCACUGUAACAACAAAGUAGCAAUUGGGUAGGCUCUUCCUGGAACUCGGCAGCCUAGAGCACUCUAUAGGGUAUAGAGUUCGAUAGUCGAAAUUGAACCAGGGAGGAACUAAAAACUUCACCAUGUAUGAAGUAGUUUUUAAUUUCAUUACCUGCACAAUCUUAGCCGAAUAGCGACUCGCUAGAUUCCCAAUUUGAUGGAGGGCUGUCGGUACCGACUGACUUGAUCGUAAGGUGAGAAAAGCCAAUUAGAAUCAAUGCAAAGACAGUAAUUAUAACUUAAAACAAAAAUCUUAGUUUAACAUCGUAGGAGAGACGGAAUAUUACAGAUAUUCUCUGAGACUGGACUGUAAGGUAAUAGCUUUGACCUUUCUGAAUAAUUACGAUGCUUCAUUGAAUUACACGUAAUUAUUCAGGAUGUCUGAGUAUGUACUAUGUGCACGAACACGGGCCAAUUAAGCCAAUCAGAAAGUGUUAACUUUCAUGGACAUGGGAUCGAUCGAUAAAUAUCAUUAAACACUUCUCAGUGGGCGUUACGGACUUUAAGAAAACUAUAGGUACUCAUCGAAUGCAACGAUGAUGUAAUAAAAAAGGACGAAUUGCAUCAGCCACGAUCCUUUUCCAAUCUUCCCCAGUCAAAUUGCUUGUACAUACGUCAACUUUUUCGCUGUGCCAACAACUUGAGAUUGACGAGAGAAACUUCUUAUUACAGACUUUACACAGCGCAUAAGCAAAGGAUUACGUAGUUUGUUAUACAUCCACUCCUUAUCAUGUGUCGAGUAGUUUUCCAUUAACAAGUUUCGAUUUGAACUCUCUGACGGACACCUCUGUCUAUCGUAGCGACUGUAAAUGAUCGUAAUGAUCCAUAGGUGCAGUUACUAGACAAAAAUCAACUUUGUGUUCAAUGGGAAAUGCGAGCAACAGCUGAUUGCAGUUCGUUAUAGCAUUAGUAACCAUUGAAUACGAUACACUUGGUAAAAAAUAUUUUAUUGUUUCAAAUUUUCAUCUUUAUAAAAUACCCUUUCAGCAAAAGAAUCACAACAAACAUAUAUCGAAAUGAAAAACAAAGAAACAGUGUUGGUCACAAGAAAAGCUCCCAUAACAUUGCACACGCACAAUCGUAUGUUUCAUACGCAUUCUCUUUGUUUUAGUGGUAAACCAAAAACAAUUCGC
Long non-coding RNA from Daphnia pulex (common water flea), 3470 nucleotides. RefSeq lists it as uncharacterized. The transcript has 5 exons. Lineage: Eukaryota; Metazoa; Arthropoda; Branchiopoda; Diplostraca; Daphniidae. The record is from RefSeq and is a predicted model, not a curated record.